RNAcentral lists this ribosomal RNA (317 nucleotides) under Naso lituratus (orangespine unicornfish). Its description in RNAcentral is "partial large subunit ribosomal RNA". It matches the Rfam family "Bacterial large subunit ribosomal RNA", at positions 2183 to 2569 of the family's 2925-position model. The record is from RNAcentral. Lineage: Eukaryota; Metazoa; Chordata; Actinopteri; Acanthuriformes; Acanthuridae.
UAGACACCAAAGUAGACCACGUUAAGCAUCCCUAAACAAAGGACUAAACCAAAUGGGUCCCUACUCUAAUGUCUUUGGUUGGGGCGACCGCGGGGAAAUACAAAACCCCCAUGUGGAAUGGGAAUACCUCUCCUACAACCCAGAGCUCCCGCUCUAAUUAACAGAAAUUCUGACCAGUCAGAUCCGGCUAACGCCGAUCAACGGACCGAGUUACCCUAGGGAUAACAGCGCAAUCCCCUUUUAGAGCCCAUAUCGACAAGGGGGUUUACGACCUCGAUGUUGGAUCAGGACAUCCUAAUGGUGCAGCCGCUAUUAAG